CCUACGGGCGGCAGCAGUGGGGAAUAUUGCACAAUGGGGGAAACCCUGAUGCAGCGACGCCGCGUGAGUGAAGAAGUAUUUCGGAAUGUAAAGCUCUAUCAGCAGGGAAGAAAAUGACGGUACCUGAUUAUGAAGCCCCGGCUAACUACAUGCCAGCAGCCGCGGUAAUACGUAGGGGGCAAGCGUUAUCCGGAUUUACUGGGUGUAAAGGGAGCGUAGACGGCAGCACAAGGCUGGAGUGAAAUGCCGGGGCUUAACCCCGGAACUGCUUUGGAAACUGUGCAGCUAGAGUGCAGGAGAGGUAAGUGGAAUUCCUAGUGUAGCGGUGAAAUGCGUAGAUAUUAGGAGGAACACCAGUGGCGAAGGCGGCUUACUGGACUGUAACUGACGUUGAGGCUCGAAAGCGUGGGGAGCAAACAGGAUUAGAUACCCCAGUAGUC
Molecule: ribosomal RNA, 440 nt
Filed under: uncultured bacterium
Lineage: Bacteria
Description: partial 16S ribosomal RNA
Rfam family: Bacterial small subunit ribosomal RNA
Source: RNAcentral